ACCGAUUUGGUUAUUGUAGAUCUGUUUAUUAUUGUUUUGUUGUACAGCCAUUUUAACCUGCUGUCAUACCUCCCGUCCAGAAGGUGUCGUAAGAGUUCUAUUGUUGAUUGCUACACGAGUAAGCCUGUAACACGUUCUUGGUGCUGCUGGAGUAAAACUAUUUUCAAGCA
Hippocampus comes (tiger tail seahorse) is the source of this 170-nucleotide long non-coding RNA. RefSeq lists it as uncharacterized. The record is from RefSeq and is a predicted model, not a curated record. Lineage: Eukaryota; Metazoa; Chordata; Actinopteri; Syngnathiformes; Syngnathidae. The transcript has 3 exons.